Molecule: ribosomal RNA, 411 nt
Filed under: uncultured bacterium
Lineage: Bacteria
Description: bacterial SSU rRNA
Rfam family: Bacterial small subunit ribosomal RNA
Source: RNAcentral
UGGGGAAUUUUUCGCAAUGGGGGCAACCCUGACGAAGCAACGCCGCGUGGGUGAUGAAGUAUUUCGGUACGUAAAACCCUUUCGACGGGGAAGAAACCGCAAGGUUGACGGUACCCGUAGAAGAAGCCCCGGCUAACUCCGUGCCAGCAGCCGCGGUAAUACGGGGGGGGCAAGCGUUGUUCGGAAUUACUGGGCGUAAAGGGCGCGUAGGCGGUUCGCUAAGUUGGAUGUGAAAACUCUGGGCUUAACCCAGAGCCUGCAUCCAAAACUGGCAAACUUGAGUACUGGAGGGGAAAGCGGAAUUCCUGGUGUAGCGGUGAAAUGCGUAGAUAUCAGGAGGAACACCGGUGGCGAAGGCGGCUUUCUGGACAGUAACUGACGCUGAUGCGCGAAAGCUAGGGGAGCAAACAG